Molecule: ribosomal RNA, 506 nt
Filed under: uncultured bacterium
Lineage: Bacteria
Description: partial 16S ribosomal RNA
Rfam family: Bacterial small subunit ribosomal RNA
Source: RNAcentral
AGUGAACGCUGGCGGUAGGCCUAACACAUGCAAGUCGAACGGCAGCACAGGAGAGCUUGCUCUCUGGGUGGCGAGUGGCGGACGGGUGAGGAAUACAUCGGAAUCUACUUUUUCGUGGGGGAUAACGUAGGGAAACUUACGCUAAUACCGCAUACGACCUACGGGUGAAAGCAGGGGACCUUCGGGCCUUGCGCGAUUGAAUGAGCCGAUGUCGGAUUAGCUAGUUGGCGGGGUAAAGGCCCACCAAGGCGACGAUCCGUAGCUGGUCUGAGAGGAUGAUCAGCCACACUGGAACUGAGACACGGCCCAGACUCCUACGGGAGGCAGCAGUGGGGAAUAUUGGACAAUGGGCGCAAGCCUGAUCCAGCCGUACCGCGUGGGUGAAGAAGGCCUUCGGGUUGUAAAGCCCUUUUGUUGGGAAAGAAAUCCAGCUGGCUAAUACCCGGUUGGGAUGACGGUACCCAAAGAAUAAGCACCAGCUAACUUCGUGCCAGCCGCCGCCGUAA